This 715-nucleotide long non-coding RNA is filed under the name Sus scrofa (pig). Its description in RNAcentral is "lncRNA (ENSSSCG00040036880.1)". Lineage: Eukaryota; Metazoa; Chordata; Mammalia; Artiodactyla; Suidae. The record is from RNAcentral.
CCAGAGGCCUGAUUAACACCAGCAGGAGUCCCUGCCCAGCGGCUCCAGCUGUCCAGCCCCACGGAGUGAUUCAACGUGAAAACAUGCAAGCAGACCUCCCGGACAUUCCGCCCCUGCCGCUGCUGCCUCACUCUGGCUAUGAAAACGCUCAGAAUUUCACAAGACUCUCUGAAAAUGUUCCUAAGGGGAGUUCUCCAGAGUUGGAGUGAGCCAGCCCUGAGUCUUCUGGAAGGGGUACAGAGGGGAAGGCGUUGUGUUCAGAGGGGCAGAGGCAGGGCUCCAACGCGACCAGCCUGAAAGGCUGGCUGCCUCUGGGCUCCAAGCUCGCCCUGCAAGGGUUCUGGCUCGCAGCUUUACGAGCAAGGGAAUUUACAGCUCUGCCCGCUUCCCCACCCACGACUACCUUUAAUUGCAAGCCUCACAUUUGCUCCCUGCACCCCUCUUGCCAAAGGCACUUCCCGACUCCCUCAGAGCAGACGGGCGCCAGCCGGGCCUCCAGACGACAACCGACAACCUCCAUGGUGACUCCUUGUCAGUCUAUUUCAACCCCAGUGCCUCAUAUUAUGCUGCUGUGUGAGAAAAGAAAGAUUCAAACAUCCCAACCAAAUGGAGUCACAGCAGAUGCUGGGCAGAUGUUCUUCAGGCAAGCGAACGAGAGACAAUAAUUAGUCUCAAUUAACUUCUCAAUAAAUUAUGUAACGGAUUCCUUGAGCCA